UGAGGAUAAACCGCGAUAGGCCAAGAUUUCUGGAAUGGAUCAUGGCUGAAAUCUAUAUGGCCCUUGGAUUGGACUGCGGCCGAUCAGGCUGUUGGUGAGGUAAUGGCCCACCAAACCUGUAACCGGUACGGGCUUUGAGAGAAGGAGCCCGGAGAUGGGCACUGAGACAAGGGCCCAGGCCCUAUGGGGCGCAGCAGGCGCGAAACCUCUGCAAUAGGCGAAAGCUUGACAGGGUUACUCUGAGUGAUGCCCGCUAAGGGCAUCUUUUGGCACCUCUAAAAAUGGUGUAGAAUAAGGGGUGGGCAAGUCUGGUGUCAGCCGCCGCGGUAAUACCAGCACCCCGAGUGGUCGGGACGAUUAUUGGGCCUAAAGCAUCCGUAGCUUGUUCUGCAAGUCUUCCGUUAAAUCCACCUGCUCAACAGAUGGGCUGCGGGGGAUACUACAGGGCUAGGAGGCGGGAGAGGCAAGCGGUACUCAGUGGGUAGGGGUAAAAUCCUCUGAUCCACUGAAGACCACCAGUGGCGAAGGCGGCUUGCCAGAACGCGCUCGACGGUGAGGGAUGAAAGCUGGGGGGAGCAAACCGGAUUAGAUACCCGGGUAGUCCCAGCUGUAAACGAUGC
This 620-nucleotide ribosomal RNA is filed under the name uncultured archaeon. RNAcentral's name for it is "bacterial SSU rRNA". It matches the Rfam family "Archaeal small subunit ribosomal RNA", at positions 141 to 763 of the family's 1478-position model. The record is from RNAcentral.